UGACAUAGUACACCACAGUGUUUUUAGCUACUUUUAUCUGGGUCAUCUGUUAUCAAAAGUAUCCUAAAGGAUACAAGCACAGACUCAUCCUGGACCCUAGUCACUUGCCCUUUCUGAACUUCAGUUUCUCCUUGUAUUAAAUGAUGGGGUUGGAUGAGAUUUAUGCUGGCAAAUGGCCCAGACUCAGCCUGACAGUUGCGUUUAGGUUUCCCUGUGUAUCAUACAGACCAAGCAUCCUAAGAACAUGUGACUCUUACUUCCUAAAAUCCUUCUCACUGCCAUUAGGUGCCUCCAAUCUCACAGGAUAGUGGUGAGAACCAGAAUCUUUUCUGUUAAUCCUAACUCCAACUCUUCUGGAACGAAGAAUCUCUUUGGACACUCUGGCUUUUCUCUGUAAGUGCUCAUGGCUGGGGUGAAGGAAGGGGGUCUUAAAUUCUCGUGUGGCUUUAGAACUACGUGGUUUUCUCCAGAUCUGCUAUAGCACUGCAGCGUUAGUUGUGGCCCUGGACCCUGUAGAGCAUCUUCAAAGAGGUAGUAGGUCUUUCCCAUUCUUUGGAAUAUUGUGCUGCUUCCACAGUAUUAGAGACCCUAUAUUUUGUAACCUCUGAUGCCAGGUCUCUUCCAGCUGCCUGUGCUGGAUGCCUGCAUAUUCCCUCCCUGGGAUAUGCAUAUGGAUAGGUGCUGGGGAAGUCGGAAUAUUACUUAGAUCUAUUAUCCUAGAUACCUCUCUACACCCAUAUGUUUUAUGCUCUCCUUUGGGAUAUGGUGCCAAGCCACAGGCAGAGUUUUCUUGUUGUCUCUCCCAGGCAAUUCCCAGAAGAGUGGGCUCUGGCUUCCUGCUGUCCCCAAUCCCCUCAUUCCCGUGUGGAUAUCUCCAUCACGAGCUCCCCUACCCUUUGUCCAGAUAUGUCUACGCAGUAGGAGGUAGAGAUGAGAGAUGAAUGAGAAUCCUGCUAUCUGCUUUCCUCAUCAACUUCCUUCUCUCCACACCCCCUUCGGACAAAUGGCCCAAGAUUUCCUUCUCAUUUUACUGACAGGAAGGGACUUCCUCUGUCACAAAUCCUCCUCCACUGGGACUCAUGACUUAGUGGUGGACAGGAAAGAGAGUGGUAAACCAGAGAUAACCUAAAUCGAAAUAAUUUAAGAAACUGUAUCAUUGUACUACAUUUAAUUCCUUUUUGGCUUAUUGCCAACAUGUUAAAAAAUUACAGAGUCUAUACGUAAAAAUCUAGAAUUGUAUCUUCUCUUGAAAACUUAGACGUUCUGGCAACAGGGAACUCAUACUCUUGGGCACAGUCAUUGGCUUGAGCUGAGUAGACGCUUCCUCCCUUCAGUGGUGCAGGUGCUAUUGGGUUCUUCACAGUCUGGACACUGUCCUUUGUCUUGGAUCAAUUCAUCCAUCUCUGUUCCCCUUCUUGCCCCGUAAGCAUUUAAUUUUCUAAGACACUCUGCUUACACGGCUGCGACUCUCCCUGUCCUCACCUACCCCAUGGCCAGCAUCCUGUUAAGCAGAGCCAGGGAAUAUAGCAUCUUACAGCCUGAUAAAGGUUUGAUUAGCACAUGAAUAUAUAACAUAUUAUAGGUGAUUACAUAACCCCAUGAAAUGUGUACAACUAACACUUAUUUUAACAUAGCAAGAAAGGGAUCAUAUGGAGUUCCCAUUGUGGCUCAGUGGAUAACGAAUCCGACUAGGAACCAUGAGGUUGCGGGUUCGGUCCCUGGCCUUGCUCAGUGGGUUAAGGAUCCGGCGUUGCUGUGAACUGUGGUGUAGGUCACAGACGUGGCUCGGAUCCCAUGUUGCUGUGGCUCUGGCGUAGGCUGGCGGCUACAGCUCCGAUUCAACCCCUAGCCUGAGAACCUCCAUAUGCCAUGGGAGCGGCCCUAGAAAAGGCAAAAAAAAGACAAAAAUAAAAAGAAAGGGAUCAUACAACUUUCUAAAAGUGCUUGAACAUGUCACUGCGUUUUCGUCCUUUGAACAAGCUGUGGGACUGUAGGCAGGUUACUUGGGCUAACUGGACUCCCAUUUCUUCAAUCGUGGAAUGAAGUGGGCAGGAGUAAUUCCAGGACUCUGAAAUCACAUGAGUCCAGCACAAUAAGCAUACAUCCUAAUGUCAGGAGACCAAGGAACGUAAGACAGACCGUCUCCUCUAGGAGGUCUAUGGUCUAGUUGGGGAAAAAGCCCUCUAGAUGGAAAGUGUCACAAAGCACAGAGGGCUCAUCGAGUUCCAGGGGCUCAGUGCUCGUAAACACUUAGAAUCAGAAGGAGACAGAGAACUUCCCUUGCCAAUAACACUUUCACCUAUAGCCUAACUUCUUCCCUGAAAAUUCAGCAUCACUCUGUUCCUCAUGAAGACCUCAAGUCUAGGUACGUUAGUCCCCUCCACAGUGGUCUUGCAGCUCUGUAGAGUUGCUGUCUAUUUGUCUGUCCCCCAUUAGGCAGUGACUCCCCCCCGCCCUCCGCUUUUUAGGGCUGCACUUUUAGCAUGUGGACGUUCCCAGGCUAGGGGUUGAAUCAGAGGUGCAGCUGCCAGCCUAAGCCACAGCCACAGCCACACAGGAUCUGGGCUGUGUCUGUAACCUACACCACAGUUCAUGGCAAUGCUGGAUCCUUAACGCAUUGAGCAAGGCCGGGGAUCAAAGCCAUACCUCAGGGAUACUAGCCGGGUUCUUAACCCUCAAUCCUAUGCUAUGACUCUUGAGGGCCAGGAAUGUAUCAUAUCUGUCUCUCUCUCUUGCUCUCUUUUUGGCUUCCUUGGAAUUCCCAGCUCAUUAUUUUGGUAACAAUACUCAGUUCUCCUUGAAUAAAUUAUGCCAGCGCCUCACUCCAUGUGGUCCUGAUGAGCAGGUGAUAAAGAUUUCCAUCACACACAUCCUCUCUCUGGUGGGCAAGUAAAAUUAGGCCAGAUUCUUUCGGUAGGGAAUUUGAAUCUUAAGGGAAGUGACAUGCUGCGACAGAAUAUUGAAAUAAUUUGAGCCAAAUCAUUCUUUCCGCAGAGUCCAUGUUGCUUCUGUUUCUGUGGUCCACUGACCUGUCCUUGUUCCUUGUCUCCUCCCUUGGAUGCUCAAUCCCUCCUUAACCCUGCAAUCUUUAUGAUCCGCCCCCCUCCACCCUUACCUUUUAAGUUAGACAAAGCCACUGCUGUCUGUUGCUUACAACCAAGGAUCCUAACCGCUUCUGGGAUUAAAUCUUGUUCAACUUGGGUGCCUAUCACAGAGUCUGGGAUACGGUAAGCUCUGGGGAUAAAAUAUUAAAUGUUUGUAAAGUGAAUAAAUCCUACCCCAUGCCACCAUCCACUCUACAGCAUCCCUGACAGAAGGCCGUCUCUCCUCUUUCUAUUAGACUCUAGUCAAUGAGGAAGAGCGCAGUCUUUCAUGAGGCAGCUCAGGCUAUUUGGAAAUGUGCCCCAAAUGAAUUCUAUUGCACAUCCCAAAUUGUGAGCAAGUUCUUCCCAAACGAGUUAAAAUCUCACUCACAUUGCCUUCCCCCAGCUAUUCCUUGUUCUUAACGGGGACCAUGAGAAUUCCUCCAUCAGAUAAUUUCAGAGUCAGGGCUAGCCACAUCUACAGGGCUUCAGGGUUUGCUAAGCGGUCUCUAAGGAAUAAUAACAUCUCAUAUUUGAAAGGCAAAUCAUACCAGGAAGAUUUUCAAAGCUUUUUCCCGACCACCAGGUAAUUUAUUCUUACAAAAUCUCUGAGACACAGAUUGCUGUGGGAUUACCAGUUCUCCAUCUCACAUGUCAGGAGACUCUGUCUCAGGAAGAUCCUCUCAUUCUUUUUUCCAGGUCACACAGCUACCAAAGGGCAGAGUUGAGACUCAAUGCUGAAUCAUUAUGGCUUAAUUCUCCCACAUUUUCCAUUAUACCAGGAGUCCCUCACCAUAAGAUUAUAAUAAUCAUGUCCAUGGUGAAGACACAGUUUUUUUUUUUUUUAUUUUUUAUUUAUUUU
RNAcentral lists this long non-coding RNA (3945 nucleotides) under Sus scrofa (pig). RNAcentral's name for it is "lncRNA (ENSSSCG00015014817.1)". The record is from RNAcentral. Lineage: Eukaryota; Metazoa; Chordata; Mammalia; Artiodactyla; Suidae.